GUGGGGAAUCUUCCGCAAUGGACGAAAGUCUGACGGAGCAACGCCGCGUGAACGAUGACGGCCUUCGGGUUGUAAAGUUCUGUUAUACGGGACGAAUGGUACGACGGCCAAUACCCGUCGUAAGUGACGGUACCGUAAGAGAAAGCCACGGCUAACUACGUGCCAGCAGCCGCGGUAAUACGUAGGUGGCAAGCGUUGUCCGGAAUUAUUGGGCGUAAAGGGCGCUCAGGCGGCGUCGUAAGUCGGUCUUAAAAGUGCGGGGCUUAACCCCGUGAGGGGACCGAAACUGCGAUGCUAGAGUAUCGGAGAGGAAAGCGGAAUUCCUAGUGUAGCGGUGAAAUGCGUAGAUAUUAGGAGGAACACCAGUGGCGAAAGCGGCUUUCUGGACGACAACUGACGCUGAGGCGCGAAAGCCAGGGGAGCAAACGGGAUUAGAUACCCGAGUAGUCC
RNAcentral lists this ribosomal RNA (450 nucleotides) under uncultured bacterium. RNAcentral's name for it is "partial 16S ribosomal RNA". It matches the Rfam family "Bacterial small subunit ribosomal RNA", at positions 354 to 796 of the family's 1533-position model. The record is from RNAcentral.